UACGUAGGGGGCAAGCGUUGUCCGGAAUCAUUGGGCGUAAAGCGCGUGUAGGCGGCUUGGUAAGUCCGCUCUGAAAGCCCGGGGCUCAACCCCGGGAGGCGGGUGGAUACUGUCAAGCUCGAGUCCGGAAGAGGCGAGUGGAAUUCCUGGUGUAGCGGUGGAAUGCGUAGAGAUCAGGAAGAACACCAAUUGCGAAGGCAGCUCGCUGGGACGUUACUGACGCUGAGACGCGAAAGCGUGGGGAGCAAACAGG
RNAcentral lists this ribosomal RNA (253 nucleotides) under uncultured bacterium. RNAcentral's name for it is "partial 16S ribosomal RNA". It matches the Rfam family "Bacterial small subunit ribosomal RNA", at positions 524 to 776 of the family's 1533-position model. The record is from RNAcentral.